CCUACGGGAGGCAGCAGUGGGGAAUAUUGGGCAAUGGGCGCAAGCCUGACCCAGCAACGCCGCGUGAAGGAAGAAGGCUUUCGGGUUGUAAACUUCUUUUGUCAGGGAAGAGUAGAAGACGGUACCUGACGAAUAAGCCACGGCUAACUACGUGACAGCAGCCGCGGUAAUACGUAGGUGGCAAGCGUUGUCCGGAUUUACUGGGUGUAAAGGGCGUGUAGCCGGGUUGACAAGUCAGUUGUGAAAUCCUUCGGGUUAACCGCAGAACUGCAUUUGAAACUGUUGAUCUUGAGUACUGGAGAGGCAGACGGAAUUCCUAGUGUAGCGGUGAAAUGCGUAGAUAUUAGGAGGAACACCAGAGGCGAAGGCAGUCUGCUGGACAUCAACUGACGGUGAGGCGCGAAAGCGUGGGGAGCAAACAGGAUUAGAUACCCGAGUAGUC
Molecule: ribosomal RNA, 442 nt
Filed under: uncultured bacterium
Lineage: Bacteria
Description: partial 16S ribosomal RNA
Rfam family: Bacterial small subunit ribosomal RNA
Source: RNAcentral